AGAGUUUGAUCCUGGCUCAGAAUCAACGCUGGCGGCGUGCCUAACACAUGCAAGUCGAACGCGAAAGCCCGCAAGGGUAAGUAGAGUGGCGCACGGGUGAGUAACACGUGGACAACCUGCCUUCGAGUGGGGAAUAACCUUCCGAAAGGGGGGCUAAUACCGCAUAAAACCUCGGAACACAAGUUCUGGGGUUGAAAAGAGCAAUUUGCUCGAAGAGGGGUCCGCGCCUGAUUAGCUAGUUGGUGAGGUAACGGCUCACCAAGGCUUCGAUCAGUAGCCGUCCUGAGAGGGAGCACGGCCACACUGGAACUGAGACACGGUCCAGACUCCUACGGGAGGCAGCAGUGGGGAAUUUUUGGCAAUGGGCGAAAGCCUGACCAAGCAACGCCGCGUGGGUGAUGAAGUAUCUUGGUACGUAAAACCCUUUCGGCAGGGACGAACCUAAUGACGGUACCUGCGAAGAGACC
RNAcentral lists this ribosomal RNA (467 nucleotides) under uncultured Acidobacteriaceae bacterium. RNAcentral describes it as "bacterial SSU rRNA". It matches the Rfam family "Bacterial small subunit ribosomal RNA", at positions 8 to 492 of the family's 1533-position model. The record is from RNAcentral. Lineage: Bacteria; Pseudomonadati; Acidobacteriota; Terriglobia; Terriglobales; Acidobacteriaceae.